UACGUAGGUGGCAAGCGUUGUCCGGAUUUACUGGGCGUAAAGAGCGCGCAGGCGGUCGAUUUAGUCGCGUGUGAAAGCCCCCGGCUCAACUGGGGAGGGUCACGCGAUACUGAUCGACUCGAAGGCAGGAGAAGGUAGUGGAAUUCCCGGUGUAGUGGUGAAAUGCGUAGAUAUCGGGAGGAACACCAGUGGCGAAGGCGACUACCUGGCCUGUUCUUGACGCUGAGGCGCGAAAGCUAGGGGAGCAAACAGG
This 253-nucleotide ribosomal RNA is filed under the name uncultured bacterium. RNAcentral describes it as "partial 16S ribosomal RNA". It matches the Rfam family "Bacterial small subunit ribosomal RNA", at positions 524 to 776 of the family's 1533-position model. The record is from RNAcentral.